This 62-nucleotide transfer RNA is filed under the name Ephemerella sp. MT-2014. RNAcentral describes it as "tRNA-Phe". Lineage: Eukaryota; Metazoa; Arthropoda; Insecta; Ephemeroptera; Ephemerellidae. The record is from RNAcentral.
ACCUAGAUAGCUUAUUAGAGCGUGACACUGAAGAUGUUAAGGAAAUCUUAGAUUUCUGGGUA